GAUGAAGAACGCAGUGAAAUGCGAUAAGUAAUGUGAAUUGCAGAAUUCAGUGAAUCAUCGAAUCUUUGAACGCACAUUGCGCCCGCCAGUAUUCUGGCGGGCAUGCCUGUUCGAGCGUCAUUUCAACCAUCAAGCCCCCGGCUUGUGUUGGGGACCUGCGGCUGCCGCAGGCCCUGAAAACCAGUGGCGGGCUCGCUAGUCACUCCGAGCGUAGUAAUACAUCUCGCUCAGGGCGUGCUGCGGGUUCCGGCCGUUAAAAAGCCUUAUUUACCCAAGGUUGACCUCGGAUCAGGUAGGAAGACCCGCUGAACUUAAGCAUAUCAAAAGCGGAGGA
This 334-nucleotide unclassified non-coding RNA is filed under the name soil metagenome. RNAcentral describes it as "partial contains 5.8S ribosomal RNA, internal transcribed spacer 2, and large subunit ribosomal RNA". The stretch from base 1 to 120 matches the Rfam family "5.8S ribosomal RNA", at positions 35 to 154 of the family's 154-position model. The record is from RNAcentral.